GAUGAACGCUGGCGGCGUGCCUAAUACAUGCAAGUCGAGCGAACGGACGAGAAGCUUGCUUUUCUGAUGUUAGCGGCGGACGGGUGAGUAACACGUGGAUAACCUACCUAUAAGACUGGGAUAACUUCGGGAAACCGGAGCUAAUACCGGAUAAUAUUUUGAACCGCAUGGUUCAAAAGUGAAAGACGGUCUUGCUUUCACUUAUAGAUGGAUCCGCGCUGCAUUAGCUAGUUGGUAAGGUAACGGCUUACCAAGGCAACGAUGCAUAGCCGACCUGAGAGGGUGAUCGGACACACUGGAACUGAGACACGGUCAAGACUCCUACGGGAGGCAGCAGUAGGGAAUCUUCCGAAAUGGGCGAAAGCCUGCCGGAGCAACGCCGCGUGAGUGAUGAAGGUCUUCGGAUCGUAAAACUCUGUUAUUAGGGAAGAACAUAUGUGUAAGUAACUGUGCACAUCUUGACGGUACCUAAUCAGAAAGCCACGGCUAACUACGUG
RNAcentral lists this ribosomal RNA (497 nucleotides) under uncultured bacterium. RNAcentral describes it as "partial 16S ribosomal RNA". It matches the Rfam family "Bacterial small subunit ribosomal RNA", at positions 28 to 507 of the family's 1533-position model. The record is from RNAcentral.